RNAcentral lists this ribosomal RNA (497 nucleotides) under uncultured bacterium. RNAcentral describes it as "partial 16S ribosomal RNA". It matches the Rfam family "Bacterial small subunit ribosomal RNA", at positions 28 to 507 of the family's 1533-position model. The record is from RNAcentral.
GAUGAACGCUGGCGGCGUGCCUAAUACAUGCAAGUCGAACGGACAGACGAUGAGCUUGUUCCGUUCACGUUUGCGGCAGGCGGGUGAGUAACGCGUGGAUCACCUACUUGUCUUUCUGGGAUCAUUUCGAAAAACCGGCUCUAAUACCAGAGAAUAUACUGAACCGCAGGGUGCAAUGGUGAAUUACGGCUUUUCUGUCUGUUAUAGCGGGUUCCGCGCUGCAUUGGCUAGUUGGUAAGGUCACAGCCUACCAAGGCUACGAUGCGUAGCCGAGCUGAGAGGGUGAUCGGCCACAUGGGAACUGAGACACGGUCCAGACUCCUACGGGAGGCAGCAGUCGGGAACGUGCGGCAAUGGGCGAAAGCAUGACGCAGCAAGCCCGCGUGAGUGAUGAAGGCCUCCGGAUCGUAAAGACCUGUUAUUGGGGAAGAACAGCUGUGGACGUAAACAAGGCGGUCUUGACGGUACCUAAUAAAAAAGCACCGGCUAACUACGUG